Molecule: non-coding RNA, 4989 nt
Organism: Vicugna pacos (alpaca)
Lineage: Eukaryota; Metazoa; Chordata; Mammalia; Artiodactyla; Camelidae
Source: RefSeq, a predicted model, not a curated record
UCAGGAAGCCUUGGCACACAUAGCAGACCCAGGCGGCCCUAGACCCCCGGUCUGUGCUGUGGAGCCGUGAAUCGGCUCCAGUGAUCCUGGUCCCGGAGCAGAGGGCACCUGGCACGUGCAGUCUGCUUUUUUGCUUUAAAAAUAACACCGCUGUGGACAUUCCCACAAAAGUCCCUGAGCCCGCUGCUCGGGAAUUUCUCUGGGCCUGACAAUGGAGCGGAGGGGCCGGCCCCAGGCCUUCCCGAAAUGCAGCUGCCAAGUGUCCCCACCCGGCGGGGCGUGAGGGCCCCACACCCUGGGCAGCCACUCGGCUGGUCACUUUUUCAACCUCUGCCAACCUGCCGGCAUUUGUCUGUUGGGUUCUGUAUCUUUGUGUGAAGCCAAACCACACUUGCCACUCGUGGUGAGAGGCGGUUGCCCUGGAGUUUGCGUGCGAUACACACCUACAAACAAUGCAAGUGCACUUUCAAAUGGCACCGAGCACUCACGGCUGGUGUGAGGCCUUGUAAUAGCAAGGCAACCCUCCCCCGCCCUCCCAUCGCUGGAGGCACUGCGGCCACCGCCUGGCUCACAGACACGCACGUGGGCACAGACAUUCACACGUAACUGAACACGCUGCUGGCAUUAGCACUGUGAACAAGCCGACGCCUGCUGGAUCAACUGAGGAGAAGGAAAAGAGGUGCGUUACCGUAAGCCGCACGAGCGAGCUCCUGGGCGAGCCUGGCUUCCCCGCUGGAGGCCUCCUUUCCGUGCCGCCCCAGGCGCUGGGCGUUGUUUCGACUCCCCCCGUGUAUUUCAUUCUCACGUUGAAAAGCCUAGUGCUCCUGGCUCAGUGCUCUGCUUCGGCUUACCUGGUGCUGCAGCGACCAAGAGCUACCGCAUUACAGCAUCAUAAAUGUUUGUGGAACGAGCAGAAAGGAAGUCUCAUUUACCUUCGCCUACCUUUUCUCCAGGGCCCUCUCCUUCUCUCUGCAGGCCUGAGCUUCCUACCUGCAUCGUCCUCCUGCCCUCUGAGAACGGCCCUCUGCCCUCCGCCCCCCAUGUUUCUCAAAGAAAUACCCCAAUUUUUGCUUGUCUGAGAAGGUCCUUAUUUCUCCCUCCCCUCUGAAGGAUGAUUUUGCUGGAUAUGGACUCAGGCUGGUGGUUUCUUGCUCCCGCCUGGUGUCUGCGGAGCCGGUGUGACGCCUGCCUGAGUCUGGGGGUCUUUCCGCCGGCCCCUGGGCGCUUUCUCUGUCCUCGAUUGCCUGUGAUUUGAAGGGGACGCGCCUGGUGUGGGUUCUCCCCAUUUACCUUGCCAGGUGCUCACCUUGCUCCCUGGGGCUGUGGUUUCAGCUGGGGAAACUCUCUUCCCCGCAGUCUCCCUGUUUCUUCUGCUCCUUCGUCCCUCCUCCUCCUGGUGUCCCUCCUCUGCGUGCGGCACGCUCGUGGUGGCCCACAGCCCCUGUGCUCCGUCUUCUCCACCUGCUCUCCAUGCUCCUCCACCGUGCAGGCUUCGGGGGAGACCCCCAAGAGCACUGAGGCUGCUCCCUGGCCGAGUCCCGCCUGCCCACUCGCCCCUCGCAGGCGCUCUCCUCUGUUAUGUUUCCUGUCCUGGGGGCCUUCCUUGGUUCUUCCUUCAGCUCCCAGCUCUGCUCACCUGCCACCUGCUCCCGUGUGCUGAUGGCUCUGUCCUGGGAGCCCUUAGUGGGUUCACCGUUGUCGAUAAGCCCCUGGUCUGAUCACCCCAGCGUCUGGCCAGGUCUGACUCUGAUGCUUGCUCUGACUCUCCAGACAGUGUUUUCUGCCCUUUCGUGCGACUGGUCGUUUCUUCCUGACAGCCCGACACGAGGUGCUGGGUAAGGGACCCUCAGCGAGCCUGAGCCCCCGGAUGGUGAUCUUCCCGAGUUCUUCUGCUCUUUCUCCCCCUUCGGUGGGACAGGACGGCUGGAGAGGGCUGAGGGGGCGGGCUGUACCCUCCUGGGUCAGCUGGGCUCUGAUAAACCCCCAGAUCUGGCUCUGGUUAACUGGUUUCCCCGGAGGAAGGGCCUUGUUAAGGAGAGCACAGUGCUCCAGCAACCUCAGGAUCAUCCCUUUUCUCCUCCUCCUGCAGGAAGCCCCCGGGGAUUUUUCUCUGAUAUUUCUAUGGAACAGGGUCGAGCCCCUGGAGGUAAAUCUCGCGAUAUUGUAGGGCCCCUCAUGACUUGGUCCCCGGGGUUAGCUCAGAGACUUGUCCGCCCACAGCCACCACAGUUAGGUUUCCUGCCUGGCACUGGUCCUCACGGCUUUGCCCAUGACCCUUCUGGUUGCUGUUGAUCUGUUCUCAAUGCCCUUUGGCCUCCCCAGUCACAGGGCAGCGGUUGCCCUGUGACCUCCCCACCCCUCAUGAACCAGAGACAAGUGUCUGCCUUUUCCGUCUGAUCGUCUUCUUGUCGUGAGGACGGAUUGGUGACUCCCCAGCUCCUAGAAUGUGGAACCAGGGCCCGAAGUGGGCCUCCACUGCCGUCCAUCGGAUGCAGUCUGUCUGGGCCGCUUCAGCGCCACCGGGUCAUGAGGAAGACAGGGAUUAUGUAAAGCCCAUGGGCCCCUUUGAGGGCCUCCGGUUCUCGGACGCUGCUUGUCACUGCUGGUUGCUCGGGCCAACAGCGGUUUUAGGUCAAUUUCCUCUGCAAACAUUUUGCACAUCUCUUUUUUCCCUACUUGUUUCAUGUUUUCAGGCCUUUGUAAGUGAUACCUUUUCAAAUCUGUUUGUUGCUGGUGUUGAGAGAAGCAACGAACUUUCAUGUGUUGAUUUUGAAUCCAGCACGCGUCCUAGGCCUCCCAUUAACUUGGCCAUUUAUCUCUAUGUUCCUUAGCCCUUUCUACACGCAUCACCGUGUCCUUCGGGAAAAGUGAAAGUCUGCAUUCUCCUUGCCAAGCUUUGUACCUUUUAUUUACUUUUCGCACCUUGUGGCUUUGGCUGGGACCUCCAGAAGGACACUGAGCAAAAACGGUGGUGGGGAAGUCGAAUCUGCUUUGUCCUCGGAGCCGAGAGCUGGAAGCCGCCCACCUGUGCAUCUACGGGGCCGUGGUUUGUCCAGAGGUGGGGACACGACACACCGGCUGAGAGGAACAAACGGCAGAGUCGCACUGGUGAGGGCGGCAUGGCGCUGAGUGAAAGAAGCAGACUCGGUCUCGUCCUGCGGCUCAAGGAGGAGGAAGCUGAGUGAGUGAGCCCGCGGGGGGCUCUGGGGCAGGCAAGGCAACCUCUGGUUCUGCCUGGGCCCCGCGCCUCCCUGGAGCGCUGGCCUGAGGUCGGAAUCGCCUUCACUCAGAGGAGAGGCUCCUGGUGGCCCCAGGGGGUCAGGAAAUUCCGGUGACCGCGACUUAACUUUGGUGAGAUUUGCAUUGCUCACUUGUGUGCUGGACUCUGACAGAAGGGGCGUAAAUCAAUGUGACACACUUGUCUUUCAAACGUGGGCAGCAGACAAGAGACUGACACCCCGCUCCAGGCACACUGGCAGGGUGGCUGCUGUCUCCGGCCCUCACCCCACCCUGGAGGGUUCUUCCAAGAACCACAUGCCCGUUUCACAGGCCCAGCAGCCAGGGCUUCAGGGUUGGCUGCCUGCCAGCAAGGAGUGGGACAGGGUCUGACCAACCUCCCGCCCACACCGUCCCCAGAACAUCAGGGACCCCGGCACCUGGGCCUGCUGAUGGGAGCUGCUGUGGGGGGCGCCCGGAAUCACUUCUCCACCCCGGGAUGUCUGUGGGCACCAGGUUUGAGAACGGUUCCCCACGCGGUCCCUUCUCCAUGCGUCCAGCAGAACUCUAUCUGGCCUGCCAGCUGGCCACUGGGGAUCGUGUGUCCCUCCAGUGGCCAGCACCCUGGACAUCACAGAAGGGCAGAAAAGAAAGGGGAGCUCAUCUGUGCCCUAUGCAGACUCCUGCCGUGGCCACGGGCACUGGUGACCCCAGAGGUCGGUCAUCAUGACCGCUCAGACUGCAGACUGGGGUACCCAGGUCAGCCCGCAGCUUGGAGUCGAGGUUCUCCCAGCACCACUUUGGUCCUGGGCCAGCUGGUCUAUUUUCAUGCAGCCGCUCAGUGACUUCGGCUCAUUCAGGGGAGGGGAAGAGGGGACACUCUUUCCGAACCCACAGGCACUUUCUCCUGCAAAACGUGAGCCUAGAUUCGGCACCAGGGAAGACCCCAGCCAAGGACCCCGAGAUUCUCCCCAACAUCCCUGGGCAGCCGGGUCCCUCUAGACACUUGGUCCUGCGGCCAGGACGUGUCCUCCCAGAGCAGAGGCAGGAUGGUGCCGGGCGAGGGGCCAGGACAGCAGGCGCUCAGGAGGAGGGAGGACGGAGGACAUUCCUGGACAAGAGGAGACAUGGGCGGCUCUGCCAAAUUCCGGAUGUGGUUCCAGCACAGGCCUGGUCUUGCGGGGACGGGCGGCCCCUCCUGGCGCUGACAGCCAGGCCCAUAGGGCCGCCUGUCGGGGCUGCAGGUGGCCUAUUGGAGGCGGGAGCCCAGCCCUGGGGCUGGGAAGAUGGAUGGCAUUCCUGGGUGGGGGCCCCCUGCACCCUGGAGCCGGCCCCCAGAGUGGAGCUGGUGGCCGGUCCGCGAGCGUCGGUGGUGCUGCAGAACAUGUGGGGAUGCGCAUCCAGAGGCCCUGGCUCCGUCCGGGCCGGGGCACAAAGGCAGCUCUCACAGCCACACCAGCUGCGGUGCCAAGCCCUCAGAGGGCACUUUAUGACGCAUUAUCUCCUCUGUGCCCCACAACAGCCCUGCCAGGUGGGAUUUUUGCUCCCAUUAAACAGAUAAGGAGAUGGGGUUCUGAGAGGCGAGGGGGCGGCCAAGGUCGUGCAGGUUAUAAAGUGGCUGUGCCUGGAUUCCACCCCAGCCCACCUGGACAGAAGCCCACCCUCUUUAGCAGAGCAAUAAAUACACUCUUUGCUGAAGAAACAUUUUAAAAAGCAGUACUCGCCCGAGGGGAGGAGCCGGGUGGGGCACCGGUGGCUCCCAGCCCGGCUAGC